This 467-nucleotide ribosomal RNA is filed under the name uncultured bacterium. Its description in RNAcentral is "partial 16S ribosomal RNA". It matches the Rfam family "Bacterial small subunit ribosomal RNA", at positions 28 to 507 of the family's 1533-position model. The record is from RNAcentral.
GACGAACGCUGGCGGCGUGCUUAACACAUGCAAGUCGAACGGAAAGGCCCUGCUUUUGUGGGGUGCUCGAGUGGCGAACGGGUGAGUAACACGUGAGUAACCUGCCCUUGACUUUGGGAUAACUUCAGGAAACUGGGGCUAAUACCGGAUAGGAGCUCCUGCUGCAUGGUGGGGGUUGGAAAGUUUCGGCGGUUGGGGAUGGACUCGCGGCUUAUCAGCUUGUUGUGGGGUAGUGGCUUACCAAGGCUUUGACGGGUAGCCGGCCUGAGAGGGUGACCGGCCACAUUGGGACUGAGAUACGGCCCAGACUCCUACGGGAGGCAGCAGUGGGGAAUAUUGCACAAUGGGCGGAAGCCUGAUGCAGCAACGCCGCGUGCGGGAUGACGGCCUUCGGGUUGUAAACCGCUUUCGCCUGUGACGAAGCGUGAGUGACGGUAAUGGGUAAAGAAGCACCGGCUAACUACGUG